This 1692-nucleotide ribosomal RNA is filed under the name Drosophila melanogaster (fruit fly). RNAcentral describes it as "bacterial SSU rRNA". The stretch from base 2 to 812 matches the Rfam family "Eukaryotic small subunit ribosomal RNA", at positions 4 to 1116 of the family's 1831-position model. Lineage: Eukaryota; Metazoa; Arthropoda; Insecta; Diptera; Drosophilidae. The record is from RNAcentral.
UCUGGUUGAUCCUGCCAGUAGUUAUAUGCUUGUCUCAAAGAUUAAGCCAUGCAUGUCUAAGUACACACGAAUUAAAAGUGAAACCGCAAAAGGCUCAUUAUAUCAGUUAUGGUUCCUUAGAUCGUUAACAGUUACUUGGAUAACUGUGGUAAUUCUAGAGCUAAUACAUGCAAUUAAAACAUGAACCUUAUGGGACAUGUGCUUUUAUUAGGCUAAAACCAAGCGAUCGCAAGAUCGUUAUAUUGGUUGAACUCUAGAUAACAUGCAGAUCGUAUGGUCUUGUACCGACGACAGAUCUUUCAAAUGUCUGCCCUAUCAACUUUUGAUGGUAGUAUCUAGGACUACCAUGGUUGCAACGGGUAACGGGGAAUCAGGGUUCGAUUCCGGAGAGGGAGCCUGAGAAACGGCUACCACAUCUAAGGAAGGCAGCAGGCGCGUAAAUUACCCACUCCCAGCUCGGGGAGGUAGUGACGAAAAAUAACAAUACAGGACUCAUAUCCGAGGCCCUGUAAUUGGAAUGAGUACACUUUAAAUCCUUUAACAAGGACCAAUUGGAGGGCAAGUCUGGUGCCAGCAGCCGCGGUAAUUCCAGCUCCAAUAGCGUAUAUUAAAGUUGUUGCGGUUAAAACGUUCGUAGUUGAACUUGUGCUUCAUACGGGUAGUACAACUUACAAUUGUGGUUAGUACUAUAGUCAUGUAUACCCUUACAUACCCUCUUAUUAGAUUAAGUUAUGUUAGAAUACACAUGGCGCUAAGCUUUUUGUCUGAGCUUAGCUUUAUUUUUAGUCAGUAGACAAGAAGACCUCGAUCUGUACACAUCAUUGAAUAAACCCUCAAUUUGUUAAGCGAAACCUUUCGUUUUGUUUUAACCCCUCUUUAAUCGACAAAGAAGUCGAUGGGUGCUUAACUGAGGAGUUCAACCUCCAACCUACAGACGACAACGAAGUCGUUUCUGGAGGCAACGAUCUUUUGGACACAACGGUCUCUGCUCGGAAGGCCCUAUCAACCUUCCACAUAACUGGCGACGAGGAUCAACACAGAAAAAAUAAGGAAACCAGCCAUACGUCAAGAAAUUCAUUCGGAACCACAGUAAGCUGUUCUUAUGUAAUUUAAGUCCGGAAAUCUUCAAUACGUUAACCAAUGCACGUGGCCGAGUAUAAAGAGGAACAUAAAACAUAACUGGAAAGCUUUGGAACACCUGCAUGUACGGAGUGACGAAACCCAACCUGGAGAAGAAGAACUUAAGCUGAUAAAAUUUUUUUUUCUUCGACAAAGCUCUUUAUACUAGCUAAGAUAAGAAACUAAAAGCUAACUAUUAAUACUUGCGAACCUCGAGAGAAAACAAAGAAAUCUAAAAUGAACGAAAAUAGCUUAGCCGCAUUUAACUCAACAAUGAACUGCAUCAAGUUAAUACAAAAUUUUGAUGGUACUGAUACAAAUCAAUUGCCAAAUUUAAUUACACAAAUAGAAAAUAUCCUUCCUUCUUUUGAUGUUUUCGACACGAAUACAAAAAAUAUUUUGUUUGGCUUUAUAAAAAAUAAAUUUGUGGGAUUAUGCAGGCCAGUGAUUCAUAGGCAUGGAAAUAUGACAGAGUGGGAAAGUUUUAAACGUGUAAUUCUGAAAAAUUUCGGGGAAAAAGAAACAAGCGAUGUCUUAAUGGAUAUGUUAAAAUUGUGUCGAGUGGAAUCAACU